AACGGACGCUGGCGGCAUGCCUAACACAUGCAAGUCGAACGAUUGCCUUCGGGUGAUAGUGGCGCACGGGUGCGUAACGCGUGGGAAUCUGCCCUUAGGUUCGGAAUAACAGCUGGAAACGGCUGCUAAUACCGGAUGAUAUCGCGAGAUCAAAGAUUUAUCGCCUGAGGAUGAGCCCGCGUUGGAUUAGGUAGUUGGUGGGGUAAAGGCCUACCAAGCCGACGAUCCAUAGCUGGUCUGAGAGGAUGAUCAGCCACACUGGGACUGAGACACGGCCCAGACUCCUACGGGAGGCAGCAGUGGGGAAUAUUGGACAAUGGGCGCAAGCCUGAUCCAGCAAUGCCGCGUGAGUGAUGAAGGCCCUAGGGUUGUAAAGCUCUUUUACCCGGGAAGAUAAUGACUGUACCGGGAGAAUAAGCCCCGGCUAACUCCGUG
Molecule: ribosomal RNA, 435 nt
Filed under: uncultured bacterium
Lineage: Bacteria
Description: partial 16S ribosomal RNA
Rfam family: Bacterial small subunit ribosomal RNA
Source: RNAcentral